AGAAAUACAAAAACAGAAUAGGUAGAAGAUGUUGGCUGAAGGCUUGAAUGGAAUAGAUUUGGGGGAAAGGAAUGAAGAUGCUUAAGAUGUGUCAGACUCUUUUGAAUACUUUUUAGUAUCAUUUAGCAUAUUUUCAUAUGAAAAUAAUAGUUACGGAUCGCUUUUUUCCAUUAAAACAUUAAAUCCAUUGACGUUAGUAUCUUUCUGAUAAGAUUGAAUCCUUGUGUAAAAGGUUUAUGUGUUAAUGUCUUUCAGACACAACGCCUAUGUUGAUCUUGUAAGAUCUUUGGUGAGGGCUUUCCCAUUUUGAUAAGAUCCAACAAAGUGGAA
RNAcentral lists this long non-coding RNA (330 nucleotides) under Lathyrus oleraceus (garden pea). RNAcentral's name for it is "Pisum sativum (pea) long non-coding RNA (PSAT_LNC014707)". The record is from RNAcentral. Lineage: Eukaryota; Viridiplantae; Streptophyta; Magnoliopsida; Fabales; Fabaceae.